RNAcentral lists this ribosomal RNA (574 nucleotides) under Eremothecium sinecaudum. RNAcentral describes it as "eukaryotic LSU rRNA". It matches the Rfam family "Eukaryotic large subunit ribosomal RNA", at positions 62 to 648 of the family's 3401-position model. Lineage: Eukaryota; Fungi; Ascomycota; Saccharomycetes; Saccharomycetales; Saccharomycetaceae. The record is from RNAcentral.
AAACCAACCGGGAUUGCCUUAGUAACGGCGAGUGAAGCGGCAAAAGCUCAAAUUUGAAAUCUGGCGUCUUCGGCGUCUGAGUUGUAAUUUGAAGAAGCUACUCUGGUGCUAGUCCCUGUCUAUGUUCCUUGGAACAGGACGUCAUAGAGGGUGAGAAUCCCGUCUGGCGGGGGUGCUAGUUCCAUGUAGAGUGCUUUCGACGAGUCGAGUUGUUUGGGAAUGCAGCUCUAAGUGGGUGGUAAACUCCAUCUAAAGCUAAAUAUUGGCGAGAGACCGAUAGCGAACAAGUACAGUGAUGGAAAGAUGAAAAGAACUUUGAAAAGAGAGUGAAAAAGUACGUGAAAUUGUUGAAAGGGAAGGGCAUUUGAUCAGCCAUGGUGUUUUCGCGGCACUUACCCCUCGUGGGUGGGUUCACCGCAGCUCACUGGGCCAGCAUCAGUUUUGGUGGUAGCAUAAACCCUUUGGAAUGUGGCUUUCUCUUCGGAGGAAGUGUUAUAGCCUUAGGUCAUACUGCCAACCGGGAUUGAGGACUGCGGCUUCGGCCAAGGAUGCUGGCAUAAUGGUUAAAUGCCGC